Molecule: ribosomal RNA, 253 nt
Filed under: uncultured bacterium
Lineage: Bacteria
Description: partial 16S ribosomal RNA
Rfam family: Bacterial small subunit ribosomal RNA
Source: RNAcentral
UACGGAGGGAGCAAGCGUUACUCGGAAUUAUUGGGCGUAAAGGGCGCGUAGGCGAUUCGAAAAGUCAACUGUGAAAGCCCAGAGCCUAACCCUGGAAGUGCAGCUGAUACUGUUGAAUUUGAGUUCCGGAGAGGAAGGCAGAAUUCCCGGUGUAGCGGUGAAAUGCGUAGAUAUCGGGAGGAAUACCAGUGGCGAAGGCGGCCUUCUGGACGGAUGCUGACGCUGAGGCGCGAAAGCUAGGGGAGCAAACGGG